This 381-nucleotide ribosomal RNA is filed under the name uncultured crenarchaeote. RNAcentral describes it as "bacterial SSU rRNA". It matches the Rfam family "Archaeal small subunit ribosomal RNA", at positions 471 to 851 of the family's 1478-position model. Lineage: Archaea; Thermoproteati; Thermoproteota. The record is from RNAcentral.
UAAAACCAGCACCUCAAGUGGUCAGGAUGAUUAUUGGGCCUAAAGCAUCCGUAGCCUGCUUUGUAAGUUUUCGGUUAAAUCCAUGUGCUCAACGCAUGGGCUGCCGAAAAUACUGCAUAGCUAGGGAGUGGGAGAGGUAGACGGUACUCAGUAGGUAGGGGUAAAAUCCUUUGAUCUAUUGAUGACCACCUGUGGCGAAGGCGGUCUACCAGAACACGUUCGACGGUGAGGGAUGAAAGCUGGGGGAGCAAACCGGAUUAGAUACCCGGGUAGUCCCAGCUGUAAACGAUGCAGACUCGAUGAUGUAUUGGCAUAAUAGCCAUUGCAGUGUCGCAGGGAAGCCGUUAAGUCUGCCGCCUGGGAAGUACGUACGCAAGUAUG